CGCCGCGUGUGUGAUGAAGGCUUUCGGGUCGUAAAGCACUGUUGUAUGGGAAGAACAGCUAGAAUAGGGAAUGAUUUUAGUUUGACGGUACCAUACCAGAAAGGGACGGCUAAAUACGUGCCAGCAGCCGCGGUAAUACGUAUGUCCCGAGCGUUAUCCGGAUUUAUUGGGCGUAAAGCGAGCGCAGACGGUUGAUUAAGUCUGAUGUGAAAGCCCGGAGCUCAACUCCGGAAUGGCAUUGGAAACUGGUUAACUUGAGUGCAGUAGAGGUAAGUGGAACUCCAUGUGUAGCGGUG
This 296-nucleotide ribosomal RNA is filed under the name Leuconostoc pseudomesenteroides. RNAcentral's name for it is "partial 16S ribosomal RNA". It matches the Rfam family "Bacterial small subunit ribosomal RNA", at positions 395 to 683 of the family's 1533-position model. Lineage: Bacteria; Bacillati; Bacillota; Bacilli; Lactobacillales; Lactobacillaceae. The record is from RNAcentral.